Molecule: ribosomal RNA, 492 nt
Filed under: uncultured bacterium
Lineage: Bacteria
Description: partial 16S ribosomal RNA
Rfam family: Bacterial small subunit ribosomal RNA
Source: RNAcentral
AGUGAACGCUGGCGGCAGGCCUAACACAUGCAAGUCGAACGGCAGCACAGUAAGAGCUCGCUCUUACGGGUGGCGAGUGGCGGACGGGUGAGGAAUACAUCGGAAUCUACUUUUUCGUGGGGGAUAACGUAGGGAAACUUACGCUAAUACCGCAUACGACCUACGGGUGAAAGCAGGGGAUCUUCGGACCUUGCGCGAUUGAAUGAGCCGAUGUCGGAUUAGCUAGUUGGCGGGGUAAAGGCCCACCAAGGCGACGAUCCGUAGCUGGUCUGAGAGGAUGAUCAGCCACACUGGAACUGAGACACGGUCCAGACUCCUACGGGAGGCAGCAGUGGGGAAUAUUGGACAAUGGGCGCAAGCCUGAUCCAGCCAUACCGCGUGGGUGAAGAAGGCCUUCGGAUUGUAAAGCCCUUUUGUUGGGAAAGAAAAGCAGCAGGUUAAUACCCCGCUGUUCUGACGGUACCCAAAGAAUAAGCACCGGCUAACUUCGUG